ACAAAAAUAUAAUAUAAAAAUAAUUGCUAAUAAAACACAAAAUAUCUUUAAUAAAAAGUUAUAUGCUAAAAUUGAAGUUGAGUAAUUUAAUCCAAGAAAAACUGAACUGAAUUUGAAAAUCGACCAAAGCAAAGAAAGGAAAACAAUAGAUUUUCCAAAAAAUGGCCUCCAGUGAGAUAUCCAGCUCCAAUGAGCGGCACUAUUAUGCGAAAUUGGAAGCAAUCAAAGACAUUCGCGACAAAACUAUUGCGUUAGAAAAAUUAAAAGUUAAAAUUGUAAAAGAAGUGAAAAUUAGCGAUGAUGAAGAAAAAUGUCUGGACGAAUAUCGUAAGGAAAUGGAACAUUUGUUAGAAGAAAAGAUGUCACAUGUAGAGGAGUUACGUCAAAUACAUGCCGAUAUAAAUGAUAUGGAGAAUAUUAUUAAACAAACAAAAGAAAACCAAACUCGUAGUGUAGAUAUGGCUAAUAGAGUGUAUGAGGAGUAUUUGGCACUAAAAUAUCAAAUCGAUCAUAUGAGACGUGAUUAUUUAGGGCUCAGUCCACUGCGUGAUUUACAUGAAGAGGAGGGUAGUCCCAUAUCGAAAGAUCGAUUUCAAACAAAUUUUCUAAAGGUUGCUGCACAGUCGGCUGCAGCAGCAGCUGCUGCUGCUGCCGCUGCAUCACAACCAACAUCACUUGCACGUCCACAUCCUCGCCAUCCAUUGAUGCCCGAAGCUACUGUUACUGCUUUACCACCUAGUGGUGGUGGAACAGCUGGACCAACAGGUGGACACGCAUUUAUGCCACCAGCACCGCCAGGUUCGGCUGCUGCUGUAAAUGCUGUUGCACGCAUAGGUAAAGGAGAUUUUUCAGCACCAGCUCCUCCUCCCCCGCCUACCAAUCGUUUGCAGCAAGCACCAGCUAUUGGUAUAGGACACCAUCCAUCGUUUCGUUCAGAUUUUAAUGUUAAUUUACGUCAACAACCGCCGCCCAUGAAAUCAUGUUUGUCUUGCCAUCAACAAAUACAUCGCAAUGCACCAAUAUGUCCACUUUGUAAGGCUAAAUCGCGUUCGCGUAAUCCUAAAAAGCCAAAAAAGAAAAAUAACUAAUUUACACAUAAUUUGACAAUACGCAAUAAUGUUAUUCUUUGAAAACGUAACAUAUAAGCCAGUGUAUAAUUAAGAGAGAUUUAUUCUUAAUUAUUCUUAAAAAACAAUACGUAUCCCGCUGGCACGGAGCUCGUACAUCACUGCGACCUUUCAUUUAUUUUCAGUAUUAAGUAACAUAAAUGCAAUGUAAUGAGAGCACGAAAUCUAUAUACUUUUUAUAAUAUUAUUUAGAUUUAUGCAAACAUAUUAAGCAUGCAAUUGCAUUCAUA
This is an RNA transcript of Teleopsis dalmanni, 1357 nucleotides long. It is a transcript of the gene named zinc finger C4H2 domain-containing protein, with no coding region annotated. The record is from RefSeq and is a predicted model, not a curated record. The transcript has 3 exons. Lineage: Eukaryota; Metazoa; Arthropoda; Insecta; Diptera; Diopsidae.